This 113-nucleotide Y RNA is filed under the name Callithrix jacchus (white-tufted-ear marmoset). RNAcentral's name for it is "Y RNA (ENSCJAG00000072956.1)". It matches the Rfam family "Y RNA". Rfam says of the family: Y RNAs are components of the Ro ribonucleoprotein particle (Ro RNP), in association with Ro60 and La proteins. The Y RNAs and Ro60 and La proteins are well conserved, but the function of the Ro RNP is not known. The record is from Rfam by way of RNAcentral. Lineage: Eukaryota; Metazoa; Chordata; Mammalia; Primates; Cebidae.
AGCUGGUCUGAAGGUAGUGAGUUAUCUCAAUUGAUUGUUCACAGUCAGUUACAGAUCAAACUCCUUGUUCUACUCUUUACCUCCUUCUCACUACUGCACUUGAAUAGUCUUUA